RNAcentral lists this ribosomal RNA (214 nucleotides) under Lactiplantibacillus plantarum. RNAcentral's name for it is "partial 16S ribosomal RNA". It matches the Rfam family "Bacterial small subunit ribosomal RNA", at positions 1 to 192 of the family's 1533-position model. Lineage: Bacteria; Bacillati; Bacillota; Bacilli; Lactobacillales; Lactobacillaceae. The record is from RNAcentral.
UUAAUUUGAGAGUUUGAUCCUGGCUCAGGACGAACGCUGGCGGCGUGCCUAAUACAUGCAAGUCGAACGAACUCUGGUAUUGAUUGGUGCUUGCAUCAUGAUUUACAUUUGAGUGAGUGGCGAACUGGUGAGUAACACGUGGGAAACCUGCCCAGAAGCGGGGGAUAACACCUGGAAACAGAUGCUAAUACCGCAUAACAACUUGGACCGCAUG